Molecule: ribosomal RNA, 260 nt
Filed under: Rhizobium sp. CC2160
Lineage: Bacteria; Pseudomonadati; Pseudomonadota; Alphaproteobacteria; Hyphomicrobiales; Rhizobiaceae
Description: partial 16S ribosomal RNA
Rfam family: Bacterial small subunit ribosomal RNA
Source: RNAcentral
ACUGCAAGUCGAGCGCCCCGCAAGGGGAGCGGCAGACGGGUGAGUAACGCGUGGGAAUCUACCCUUUUCUACGGAAUAACGCAGGGAAACUUGUGCUAAUACCGUAUGAGCCCUUCGGGGGAAAGAUUUAUCGGGAAAGGAUGAGCCCGCGUUGGAUUAGCUAGUUGGUGGGGUAAAGGCCUACCAAGGCGACGAUCCAUAGCUGGUCUGAGAGGAUGAUCAGCCACAUUGGGACUGAGACACCGCCCAAACUCCUACGG